UGGGGAAUUUUGGACAAUGGGCGCGAGCCUGAUCCAGCCAUGCCGCGUGCGGGAAGAAGGCCUUCGGGUUGUAAACCGCUUUUGUCAGGGAAGAAAUCUUCUGAGUUAAUACCUCGGGAGGAUGACGGUACCUGAAGAAUAAGCACCGGCUAACUACGUGCCAGCAGCCGCGGUAAUACGUAGGGUGCAAGCGUUAAUCGGAAUUACUGGGCGUAAAGCGUGCGCAGGCGGUUUUGUAAGACAGAGGUGAAAUCCCCGGGCUCAACCUGGGAACUGCCUUUGUGACUGCAAGGCUUGAGUGCGGCAGAGGGGGAUGGAAUUCCGCGUGUAGCAGUGAAAUGCGUAGAUAUGCGGAGGAACACCGAUGGCGAAGGCAAUCCCCUGGGCCUGCACUGACGCUCAUGCACGAAAGCGUGGGGAGCAAACAGGAUUAGAUACCCUGGUAGUCCACGCCCUAAACGAUGUCAACUGGUUGUUGGGAAGGUUCCUUCUCAGUAACGUAGCUAACGCGUGAAGUUGACCGCCUGGGGAGUACGGCCGCAAGGUUGAAACUUAAAGGAAUUGACGGGGUC
RNAcentral lists this ribosomal RNA (572 nucleotides) under uncultured bacterium. RNAcentral's name for it is "partial 16S ribosomal RNA". It matches the Rfam family "Bacterial small subunit ribosomal RNA", at positions 355 to 920 of the family's 1533-position model. The record is from RNAcentral.